ACGAAUCAAGAACUCUUUCCUGAUUAAACUUGGAGAUGAGAAGAUUCAACAACAGGCAGUUGAGGCGUUAUGUGACAACAACCAGAGAAUACACACCCUUUUUAUUGAAGCUGGGUCAAAAAUGGAUGACCUGAAAGACGUCCUGCCAAGACUGGCUGAAGUACUGACACUGAAAGCUGUACACUUUAUUGAAUUUGAGCUUAUGAAUCUAUUCAAAAGCUACCCUGACUUCAGUGAAGCUCAUGUCUGCGCCUGGCUGCAUCUUAUGGCAAACCUCCCUACCUCAGAGCUCAGAAUGAUCAGGAAGUCUUUCUCAGAGUUACGGGAGCUAAGCGCAUCAAAAGAAACCGAUUAUCAGGAGCAGGAUCC
Pygocentrus nattereri (red-bellied piranha) is the source of this 369-nucleotide long non-coding RNA. RefSeq lists it as uncharacterized. The transcript has 3 exons. The record is from RefSeq and is a predicted model, not a curated record. Lineage: Eukaryota; Metazoa; Chordata; Actinopteri; Characiformes; Serrasalmidae.